Molecule: ribosomal RNA, 481 nt
Filed under: uncultured bacterium
Lineage: Bacteria
Description: partial 16S ribosomal RNA
Rfam family: Bacterial small subunit ribosomal RNA
Source: RNAcentral
GAUGAACGCUGGCGGCGUGCUUAACACAUGCAAGUCGAACGAAGCACUUUAUUUUAUUUCCUUCGGGACUGAUUAUUUUGUGACUGAGUGGCGGACGGGUGAGUAACGCGGGGGUAACCUGCCUUGUACAGGGGGAUAACAGUGGGAAACUGCUGCUAAUACCGCAUAAGCGCACAGCAUCGCAUGAUGCAGUGUGAAAAACUCCGGUGGUAUAAGAUGUACCCGCGUUGGAUUAGCUAGUUGGUGAGGUAACGGCCCACCAAGGCGACGAUCCAUAGCCGAGCAGAGAGGGUGCCCGGCAACAUUGGGACUGAGACACGGCCCAAACUCAUACGGGAGGCAGCAGUGGGGAAUAUUGCACAAUGGGCGAAAGCCUGAUGCAGCGACGCCGCGUGAGCGAAGAAGUAUUUCGGUAUGUAAAGCUCUAUUAGCAGGGAAGAUAAUGACGGUACCUGACUAAGAAGCACCGGCUAAAUACGUG